This 15333-nucleotide long non-coding RNA is filed under the name Gallus gallus (chicken). Its description in RNAcentral is "lncRNA (ENSGALG00010009014.1)". Lineage: Eukaryota; Metazoa; Chordata; Aves; Galliformes; Phasianidae. The record is from RNAcentral.
AUAUACUUCUCUGUAAGAGUCAAAAUCUGCUUCUCACUGUGGCGAAAGCCAGACCACGGGUAGCCCUACAUGGAAGUUGUACAGCCAGCAGAGAGCACAGGAGCAGAGUUAUGGCAAGAGGCACAUCACCGGGUCUCUGAUGAGAUCAGCCAUGGAUACUGUGGAGUGAGAAGGAAGUCCCUUAUCACAGCACACAUGGGUUUGCUGGGUUUGGGUCAGCAUACUUAGAAGAUAGAAUUGCACUGGCAGCUCCCCAGUCUCUCUCAGGUGGACAAAUGAAGACAAAAAGGCAGAAACAACAAGCCUGUGGCCUCACAUCAAGCCUGCCAGAAACAGAAUGGAAAUGCAGGAGUCUGGCAUAACUUCCAGAGGUCUGAUUGCCCUGCGGGGGAUGUGCUCAGCCUCUACCUGGAGAUAGAGUACCAGAAUAUCCCCAGUUGGAAAGGGAUAUCCAACCUGCCCCUCUCCUGACACAGCUCCAUGCCGUUCCCUCGGGCCCUGUCGCUGUCACACAGAGCAGAGCUCAGCGCUGCCUCUCCACUCCCUGUGAGGAGCUGCAGCCGCCAUGAGGCCUCCCCACAGCUCCUCUGCUCCUGGCUGAGCCAACCAGGGGACCUCAGCUGCUGCUCAUACGUCUCCCCUCUAGACUUUGGGGUUGUUUUGCUUUGCAAUCAUCCCCUCCAUCAAUGCCUGUUAAAUUGUUUGUCUUUAUCCACUCGUUUCCAUCCCCCACUACUUAACUCCUAUAAAACAGGCCCGCUGGCCUUUGUUUGCAGUGCUGGAAAAGGUGUAAUAACAAUAUUUCCAAUAUUCAAUAUUUUUGUUCAAACCAUCUUGAGAAAACAUUUUUUAAUGAAACACAUUUACUACUCCUCAUUUCUGUGUGAUCUGUCUGAUUUCCUAACUCUUCAAAAUGACAAAAAACAUUUGCCUGCUCAGAGAUGUUGGCCCUAAGCCCAUCACGCCCACGGGCUGUGGUUGUAUGAUAAGAAAUGUUUGCCUAAUUCUCCAUACUCUGGAAUUAUAACCUUAGUAUAAUGAAGAGAAAAAGCCCUUUACAUAAGCAAUUCCACCAGAACAUGGAAUUAAAGGACGAAUCCAAUCUAGGCAACUCAGGGGAGCAGCAUACAUGUAUUUACUUUCAGAGAUUACCUCUUGGAGAACGCAAAGAUACUACAGUGAGAGUUGCCAUUCUAAAAUCAAAAUACAGAUGGCUGUAGUCACAGUGAGACUGCUCCUGAGUGUACCAGAAAUGCUUCUGCCUCUGCUUUCUGCAGCUUGCUCUCAUGCAAGACUGGCAGAUAACCAGUGCAGCAUGGGUUAAAAAAAAAUAAAUGGUAGACCACAGAAUCCAACUUUGCAAGCUGUCAGUCUGUUCAGGUAGAUGUUAACAAACCUCAGCUCUUGAUUUCAGUGCUUUGCUGGGCUGCUGGGCUAGGCAGAAGAAGGCAUGCGAUAUACUCAGUGCUUUCAACAAGACUCUCUGCCUGUGCCAGUUUUCUUCUCCUGUGGAUGGGAUGAGACACAGAUAGUAUUUCUUGGUGAGUUGUGGGUAUUUCUGCAAAUCACUUAAAUGACCUUGCAGCAAUUCCAGCAGAUAACAUUAUACAUUCUCCCCCUUCCUUUAUAAAUCACAUCUUUAUGUCUUUUAGGCUUAGGGAUACAAUUGUCCCAUUGCAUGGCUCACUACAACAAAAUGUUUCUUUCUCACUGUGGUGCCUUAACACUGUGCAAAUGCUUCUUUGUACUUCCUGAUACCAAAAGCUACUCACAAACAAUAGAUGAACUGUUUAUGUUUAUGUAGCUUUCCCUUUCCCCAGAAUUGACACAACAGUUUCAUUUUGAAUACUUCAGCAUCUGUUGAGUCUGUACUCUACAGGGUCUUCACAUCCUGCUUCUAAGCACACUCUGAUAUGUUCCUUCCCUGACAAUGCUAGGCAGCACAGGGGCUGGUCUCUUACCUCAUGUCCAGCUUUCCCAGGGAGUUGUGGGUGCUCCUCUGCCUGUCUCGCCAGCAGGGCCCCAUUCAAGGGCAAUAUCCAGCCCCUGACCAGGUAUGUGCCGCAGUGGCAAGGCAUGUCCUACUGCACUGCUUUCUCCCAUCAUAAAUGUUUUCUUUUGGCUACUUUCCAAGCUUUGCUGUUGGCACAGUGACUUCCUGAGCACCCUCCAGCUGCAGCAUGAGUCAUGCAGAGAAUGUGGGCACUGCCCUGCUCUGGGCUUCAGUCUUCUUAAAUAUGAAUGAGCAUAGUGGCCAGCCACAGAGGAUUCUAAAAUGGAGAAGAGCAACUGACCAGAGACUUGUAUGUGAAACAAGUCUCUGAGAAGUCUGAUGCUGGUCAUAUGGACUGCUCUUGGCCUACCCACAUACACUAUUUUCUAUUCCUGUUGUGAGCAUGGCUGUGCUGGAAGCAUAAGUGAAGCAUGUUAGGCAGAUUCAGCCAAACUGCAGAGCAAUAGGAUGUACACUGUACAAGAGAGAGUUAGAUUUCACUGCUUCAAGACUUGUCAUUGCAGGACAGCCAGGACACCAAGCUACUGGACCACCAAGAUGGCAGCCAGGUGCUGCCUGUCAGGGGAAGAGGAACCUCAUGCAGCACAUAAUGGCAUGCCAUCUCAGGUCGUGUGGGCCCUUGAGGAGGAAAGGCAAGCUAAUGAGGGAAGCAGAUGCAGUUUAGCCAUUCUUGUGUGUGCCACCAAGCAUUCAAGCAGUGCAAGUGUAGGCGCUUGUGCUCUUCAGUGCUCACCUCCCACAGCAGCCGGUCUGAAAGCUCCUUUCCCUGGCACUUCUCUUUACUUGUGAAUGGCUUCUUCCACAAAUAUCUACCACGAAUAUGCACAGAAUAAACCGCAGGUUACAGGCAAGAAAUGAUAGCAAUUUUUUUCCUCUGUUUCUUUCAUCUCUUAAACUAGCUGAAAUAAAUUAGCUAUGCUGCUGCCUUAAAUCACUGAUCACCUUCAGCAAGGUUCCCACUUUUUCACACCAAGUUUGCAGGUCAAAGUCCUAUUCUUUGUCAGAUCAGCUGACGUAGUUUGAGAAGUAGCCAAGGUUUGGGACAUAAUAGUUUCUUUUUUAUAUUUGGAAUGGAAGAAGCAAAAGAAAAAAAAAAGGAUCACUUGAAAUAUAGGUGAAUCAAAGCAAUUUCUUCUCUCUUUCUGGCAACAUGCAAUAGAUUUGACUUUCAUAUCACAUAAAUAUUGGGGGAAAAAGAAUGAUGUUUUAAGUUUUCAUUAGUAGUGGAAGAAAAGUAUUCAAAAGGAGCAUUUGCAACCAAAAGUCACUUUGUCAUGAAAAUUACGUAACUGCUACCAAAAAAAAACCCCUACCAACCGUAGAACAUAUUUUGAAGACCGGAAUCAGCUAACAAAGACUCCUUACUUGAUGAACAUAUAUUCACAUCCAUAUUCAAAACCUUUUAAAAUCAAUGGGUAUGUCGUGUUAAGAAUUAAGAUGGACUUUGAAAGGGGUGUUUCAACCAACCAACCAACCAACCAAAAGCCACUGGGUUGUUAUUGGGGAAGCUUCCUCUCCAUUGCAAAAAAAAAAAAAACCAACUGCAAACCACAACUUUUUUGCAGAUUCUUCUUCAUUCACUUUUGCAAUGACCAUGAGUGCUUAGCCUACCCCUUGAAUGUCCAGACAAAAUUCGUUAGCAGAUGCUCCAUUUCUACCGUAAGAACUAUAGCAGCUCUGGAGCAGGGAACAGAAAAGUAAUUGAUUCUCACCCACUGCUGUAAAUUCAUUGUUUCUCUCUUGUCAGUCACUGUCAGGGGUAGUGUAGGAGAAUGACUGAGAAGCAGAUGGCUACAUCUAAUAAAUUUUGCAGGCUCAUUUUGAAACCACCAAGGCAGUCAGCAGAAACUCUUCUGCCUGUGCUCCUGUCACCGGCAGCACUGAAAUCAUGUUCUGUGUGCUGCUGGUUGGUAAGCUGGUCAGGUAGGCAGUGUCAGCCUCUACCGAAAUGCCCAAAAUACCAGAGCAAGUUUCUUCCUCUUUAGUACAUGUCCCAUGGGGGUGGGAGCAGAGGAGAAACCUGGGGAACAAGUAGAAAUAAAUAGAAUGAUGCAUACCUCCUUCUUGAGGCCACUUUGAUGCUCUCUAGCACAACUGCAUGCAGGAUCGCCAAGGACUCUUUAGUAUUCAUCAGCAGCAAGAACCAAUUGCUGGAUCGUGCCGCUGGUGAUUUUACUCCCUCAGCAGGACUUACUCUCCUUCUUGCUUUCUGACAGCUCAGGAAGCUAUUCUCAGUGCAGGGUUGGGUGGGCCCCAGUAAUAUGUUGCAUAUGCCUUCAGCAGUUUUUCAAAGCAAUGGUACUUCACUGUAUGUACAUAUGCAGGUAUGCAUGCUGUUGUGGGUACGUUAUUAUUAGGCAGGCACGUUUUGCAGCCAUGCCAAAUACUUGUUAUCAUAUCAUAUCACAGAAUGGCCUGAGUUGAAAAGGACCAUAAUGGUCAUCGAGUUUCAACCCCCCCCUGCUAUGUGCAGGGUCACCAACCACUAGACCAGGCUGUCCAGAGCCCCAUCCAGCCUGGCCUUGAACACCUCCAGGGAUGGGGCAUCCACAACCUCCUUGGGCAACCUGUUCCAGUGCAUCACCACCCUCUGUGUGAAAAACUUCCUCCUAAUAUCCAACCUAAACCUCCCCUGUUUCAGUUAAUACCCAAAGGAGAACGGAGGUUCUCUGAAGAGAGUGCAGGGAGUCAAUUUCUGUUGUCGGUAGAAUCCAGGAAAGAAAAGAAAAUCUGUCCUCAGGGAUUCCUGUAAGUGACAUAUUUAAUAUUUUCUGGAGGAAAAAGUUAGUUUUCUCACACUGCUUCCAUUUUACCAAGAAAGUAGUCGUGUAUGCGUAUUCUGAGUAUAUAAAAUUGAUGGAGAAUAAUUAUGUAGUUAUUAGAAGCAGGAAAAAAUGGUUACAUGUUACUUACUUUUAGCCUGAGAACAACUUUGUAAAUAGUUCUUCAUAUAUUUAGAAAGUAAUAGUUCACCUACCUAUGAUAGAAGAUCCUUGCAGGUCCCAUGUGUCAGAGCAUGUCAGAACAGCCUCCCCUUUCAGACAGUCUGCAGGUAGAGGACUCAAAUGCUGUUGGGUUUUUUUGUUUGUCUGUUAUUUAAUAUAAUUUGCAGUUGAGCAGGUGAAAGAGUAUUAUGCUUGUUUUUUGUCAGGAGAGUUCUGUGUUGCAGGUUAGUGACCAUGGAGUUGAGCAGGGCAUUUACAGGCACAGUGAGGCAUCUGCCUGGCAGACCUUCACAGUAAUCCGUGGAAAGAAGGAAAAAACAAAAGAUCUAAAAAUUUUCAUAACAAAAUCACAUCAAGACAGCUUCUUUUCCAGAUAUGUAAAAACUUCGAAUGAUUUUAAAUCAAUAAGUUCCCAACUAAACCUGAACAUUUGUUGGCUUGCUUCUCUGAAUACUAAGAUAAAAGCAAAGCAUUUGGUUGAACAUUCUUGAAAAGCUAUUUUUGGCAUGUACAGCUAACCAGAGCUUGCAAAUUUUACAUUUCAAAAUGCAACUAAAUGUUUUGUAUGUUGUUUUAAUAUCUUCAAAUCACUUCCAGGUUGUAGAAUGCAAAAAUAAACAAGCAAACAAAGGAAGGAAGGAAGGAAGGAAGGAAGGAAGGAAGGAAGGAAGGAAGGAAGGAAGGAAGGAAGGAAGGAAGGAAAGAAGGAAGGAAGGAAGGAAGGACAGAAGGAGGGAAGGAAGGAAUAGAAACCUGUGCUGUGAAAUCAUUCUUUGAAGAAAACGUAUAUUGCACACUUGAUAAAAGAGCACUCUACUCAGAAAGCCCAGUGCACAGAGACACACAAAUAAACUUUUGAUACAACUGUAGAUCUCCCACUUGUUUAAAGAAACCAAGCCAUAGUGCUAGACAUAAUGGCCAUAAAUAUAGUUAGUGCAAAUGAUGCAUUGUUAGGUCUUCUAGGGACAUAUCUUCAGUGCUGAUCUCUGCUUUUCCAGGCUGCUUCCAGCUGGGAAAGCAUUCAGUUUCUAUGAAACAUGUCCUUCACACCUUCUCAUUUAGUUAUGAGUAUUCUUGUUAAACACCACAGCUGGUAGUUUCCACUUUUUAAUUGGCACAAAAUAGGUGAUUAUUUCAGAAAAGAAAAGAUCACUUUGUUUUUGGAGCUACAAGUAUAUUAGUAUUAGAGGUGUUAUUUUGUGAUAUUGAACAGCUGAUAGCUGUCUCUCCACACAUGCUUUCCUCAGACUGAGGAAAAUAAUCUAUAACUCUUAAGACCAAGUGUCUAAUACAUUCUGUUGUGUUCCUGGUGUGAGCACUUCCUUCCAUAACUCCCCUUUUCUCACCAAUAGCAUUUCACCAUUGAUGUGAAAAUAAUGUAGGAUACAAAUAAUGUUUUCCAUGAAAUAGCAGUGGGUUUCAGUCUCUGCUGUGUCUGCUGUGUCUGCUGUGUUUGCUUACUGCAAUAAAUGACUUUCCUUUCUUUUUGUGGGGAGACAAAUAAGGUGUGCUAGUAUAUUAUUUGCUUUUCUUCAAUAUCUGUCUUGCAGAUUGAGAGUGCACAUAACCAUUGGUUUUGGAAUAAACCUUUGGAGACUGCAGCAUUUCUUGCACUACACAAAGUAGAAGGUAUGGGGUUUUGCCACUUCUUUUGUGUGUUUCUCCUACACCAGGUAUUUUGCCUAUGAAAAUAGAGUAUGGCAAGAAAACACACUUGCAAUCCUUCUUCCAGUUUCGAUAGUUUGCGUCCACUGUUACAAUUUAAGACCAGGCAGAAUAUGCAAUUACUCUUACAAGACACAGACAGGCAAUCCUUACCCAAAGAAAAUGGUGCUGAUCCUACUUGUGCAUGUGGGUAAUUCUACCCAUGCAGGUGACGCUACUGGGAAACUCCACGCCUGAUGCAGUUCUUAGCAGCUGGAAAUGUGGUUUUUGGACUUGGGCCCUUUAAUAUUAUUUGAACCAUGCUGUGGUUCAUUUGCUCACAGUGAGUAACAUAUUACUCUGAACAGACUCCCACUAGCUUUGGGGAGUCUGUUCACAGUGCAAGGACCCAUUCAGUAGUCAAAAUCUGGCCUCAGGCACUGCGUGCGUUAUUACAGCAGAAACUCAUUUUGAGCUGUGCUUGGGGAAAGGCUGCACACCUCUCCAGGUGACAGCCGUCAGUGUGCAUGGUGCUGCUUCCCAGAUCAUCUCCAUGCAGCAGCUCUUCCAUAUGAGCUGUGCAGGCUGCCAGAAGCACAUGCAGUACGCUUCUCACAAGCUGCUGUGCAAACCUAUCACUAAAGUCUUCAGGCUCGUGGGUCCUGCUGGCUGUGUUGCCAUGUCCCGUUUGUGAGCCUUGAUGAGAUUGCUCCUGAGCUUUGUGUGCAUUUAGAGCCCUGGAGUGAGAUGUCAGGGACAGAAGCUGAGGGCUUUGGCACAAAUAAGAUCUUCCAAACUAAAUUUAGGGGAAACUCCACAAAACUCUAUUGAUUUUUUUUUCUUCUCUGUACUUAAUUCAAUAUCUCUUUGCUCUAGUAGGAUAGCAAAUUGAUAGAAUCGUGUGUCCCCUUUACCACGAUGUCAUUUCAAGACAGCAACUGCCUGCUUUUAAAAGGAUGUGGAGUGCCCUCAACUAUUUUGUCUGCAAGAGCUAUGUGCGCAGAAUUUUCAGUGAAAUGUUAAGUGCAGAGUGACAAGAGUGUUCAUAUGGCUGGCUCACUGUGAAACCCGGAAUGUGUAGCACUCACAUCAGUCUGUUGGUCUGAUCAGGUUUCCCUGCUUCACUUCUCCCCUCCAGCAAGGCAGAGCUGGCUGCCACGAGCAUCCCCUCCUGCUGCUAGGAGGAGCAGGUGAAAGAUGAGGCGAGAGUGACAAUGAGGGCAGCAGGGACUCAGGAGGGAGAAGAAAGCAGAGUGACUCACACUGGGGCUUCAAUGAUUGCCCUUAAGUGUGGCCACUGGUUACUGCUCUCACAUUUGCAGUGUUUGAGGUGUAGGAGGACAUGGUCCUCAAGAUAAGCGAACAAACAUCAGCUUUAGGGCAGUAGCCCUUCAUAUUUCAUUCCAUGGAGAGUAUCCUUCUACUAAUACUCCUAGGAAAGACCAACUGCGGAAUAGUCUGUCCUCACUUCCAUAUCUCCCAUCUGUUACACCCAGCUCCUCACACACUUAUACUAGUCCAUUGAUUUCUGGCUCUUGCUCACUAUGUGAGUCCCAUGGCAGGUGUCUGGGACCGAGCCUCAGCUCUGCCUUGUGAUGUGCAGGUACAGUGAUGCUUGUACAUAGGACAAAGCUGACAAAGCAGAAUAUUUCACAGCUGCCUCACAUACAGUUACGGGCACAACCAGCUUGAUGCUUAGGAUUACUCUAACACAGAAUCGUGGCACAAAUUCUUACAGCAAGGGCCAAAGGAGACCUACAUUCCUCUUUCAUGUGCCUGAGACCACAGUGUGUGAAGAUCAUGGUUUUAAUAUAGAUAUAACCACUAAGAGGAGAUUCAUACCUUGGCUGUUGGUCCCACUGUUACUUCAGAGUCUGCAGAUUUGCAGAAGGCAGCAGCAAAAUGGUGUCAUUGUAAUUCCUUGUGAAGAUUGGAACCUGUGCUGCAGUUUUCCCCCCCCCUUUUUUUUUUCUUUCCCUCAAGUCAAGAAAGUAAAUAUAGAAAGAACUCUACAAGAAAAGUUGAGAAUUAUGUUUCUAUAAAAGAAUUUCCAGAAAGUAACAAGUGACUAAUAUUACUGAUGCAACAUGAAUAUAAUAGGUGAAUCUCAGCAGUAUAUCACAAUCAUGAUACCUAUGCCUUAGGGUAUUAAGACGUGAUGUAAACUUGAGCACUUUAGAGACCUCUGAUCUGUAUUCUGUUACAGAGGUCUGAAAGCAGUAUCUCAUUAAAAUGAGGGGGAAAAAUGAAACAACACUCGAGUCUUUAAAAAGCUGCUGCUUUCUGGGAAGAAAAAAAAAAAAAAAGAUAUGCUCUUGUCAAAUUUCAGAUGUAAUCAUCAGCCUGAAGCAUGAGAUCUUGACAGUGUGCUAUUGUGCUAAAAUCUAUAGGAAAGCUGUCUGGACUCUUGAAAUUCUUCAGCAGAGGUUCAAGCAAAGGAAAAUAUUAACUGGAAUGGUCAAACCAGAUGAAAUAACACAUUUCUUUUUAGGACAAUUAUCCAACUGCUUCCAACAGAACACUGGGGGAGGAAAUCACUGUGAGGAAGCCACGUAUUGGAGCAGUUUGCCCUGGGCUGUUGAACUGCCUCCAUCCUUGUACAUUUUCCAGACCUACCUGGAUAAAACCUGAGUGCCCUGAUCAGAUAGAUCUCAGAGCCAACCCAGCAGAAGGUGAGACUGUCGACCUCCUGAGGUGCCUUCCAACCCAAAUGUUCAAUGUCCACUUUUGGAAUUGCAUCUGAGCAGUGGCUGAUAGUCCUGCUUUGUGGUGAUAUAUAUAUUAUAUGUAUAUAUAUAUACUACAUAUAUAUAUAUAUACAUAUAUAUUAGACAUAGAAAGGGGGUUACCUUUUGUAUGGGAAAAAUGAAAUCUGAACAUUUACAUGAAAAUAGAAGGUGCAGGAGUGUCAGCUGCACCCUUCUGAGCUUUCUGGCUAGGGUGGAGGCCUCAAGGGUGGGACACCCAACUCCAGGUCUGUGCUGCAUGACUCAGAGUAGAAGUUUGCACCCUACACUGCUCAGAUGGGUUGCAAAUGGCAAGCUGUCUGGACCAGAGUUUGAAUCAGCUUGCUAAUUACCCUUGAUAUGCAUGUGGUCACUAUUAUGUCUGUGGCUCAGUGAGGCACCAUGGCUUGAGGACCAAGUCCCAAGCCUUGAAUCCAGCAGCAGUCACAGGUGGUGCAGGGACAACUGCAGCUUGGCCCAGCUCCAGAUGGUGCUGAGUCUGUUUUGGUCCCUCUCUGCUUACAGGACAGCUUUGAGAUUCUGUAAUGGCCAGAGCAAGGUCACAUUGCAGCUUUACUCCUUCUUAUUACAAAGCUGGCAUGGCACAGCUGGGGUAGAUAAGAAGCAUGGGAGUAAAAGGAGAUGUUACUGGCCAAAUUGGCUCCUUAGCCAUCUCAGAGCCAGCACAGAGGGCUGCAGAGAACCCCCUAGCAGGCGAGGGUUUCUGGUGCUGCUCUGAGCAACCCCGUCAGAGGUUGGCUGCGAUGCACAGAGCCAAAAACUCCCGACUGUUAAUCCUGCCUCUGAAUCAGUCUCCAGAGGCCUCAAGCAAAGCAUUUCACCUCUCUGUUGCAACUUCUCCAUCUGUAAAAUUGGGAUAAUGACAUUUUACUAACUUGUAGGAGUGCUGUGAACUUUAAUUAAGGCAGCGUUUGUAAAACGCUUUAAUGAGGGAAAGCUCUAAGAACAAGUAGAUUAUUUGGUUAAGCUGCCUAUUGUGGUGCUCCCAGACCUGCCCAAAUAACUCAGAAUCCGUGUGUACAAACUGCAGAUUGUUAUCCUGCAAGCCUUCAAAGAUAAGCAUUUCAGGGCUUGAGACUUGGGUAGAUGGGAUUCAGUUUGGGAGCUCCCACUCCCAAGCACAGAAGUGUGCAGCACCUCCACUUGCUGCCAACCUAUUUUCCUUUAUUUUGCAGAUAACAAACAACAGUGAUUUAGCAAGAGAUGUCUUUAAAAAAGUUACAAUUCUAGAUGGUGGAAUAGCCUGCAAUACCAAAGGCUGAACGCAGGGCAUCCUUUUUCAUGCCUUUUUUUUUUCUGAGUGUAGUUGAAACCGCACACAUAAGGUGCAUACAUAUCUGUCUCAUGUCCUGCCAUCCCAUCCUGGUGGGAUGAUGGGCUGGAUGGGACCAGUACUUCAGCUCUUACAGCCCAUGGUAAAUCAGGACUGACUACACUGUAUCUUUGGUCCUUCAGGUCACCAAAGGCAGACAGACAUAGGGAUGCUGUGGGGAAGAUGUGCCUCCCUCCAAGGACCCUUCCCAGUACCCCUUCUUUUCAGAGUGGACAGAGGUGUAGAUGCCACUGCAGCCUUACCUGGGGACUAUGGCUCUUCUCUGCUCCCUCUUGGCACCCCAAGAGUAUCAGGAAGGAGCAGCUCCUCCAGUUAAGUCAUCUGGAACAGCAGUUAGGCCUGCAACUCUGUAUUUUAAUCUGAGGAAGAUUUAAUCAGUCCAGCUGUUAAUGCCAGCCUGUUGCUCUCUGAUCAAGGAUUAUUUAAGCUAUUAUUGAAAUACUGUGCUCAGAUCUCUAUUAUGGUGAAUAUUCACAGGAACAGUGCUCCUCUUGAGCUGAGCAAAUAAUGUGGAGCUGCUUGUUUUAGACAGAAUUCCACAUAUUCACUUUGUGUUACUUUCACAUUGCUGGUCAGGAACAAUGAUAUUUGUCCAGUGCUAGAAAUAAUUACUGGAACUCAUAUUUUGGUGACAUUUCAAGCAAGCUUCUGUGAUGGAAAUUGGCUUGCACCAUUUCCAAUUCCUUUAGGAAAGCAACAUCUGUCUGGUUAAGGGGUUUUGCACUAGAACUAGUGCCAAGCUUCCUAACUGAAUUUCCAUUCUUUACAUUUUAACCAUGUUUUCAAAUUUCAGACAUCUGAAUCAGUUUUCCUUUCAUCAGAUAUAAAAGAUGAUUGUCUGGAAAGAUGAAAAACCACUGAUCUAGCUGAAUCCAUGCUGCUUGUUUGUUGCUUUUACUACAGACACCUUGGCUUCCAGGUGUCCUCAAGAUUAAGCAACAUCUAGAUUUCAAGAAAGACUAUUCAGAGCAGCUGAUAUUGAGUCAGAACUAGAGUUCUAGAGUCAGUACUAGAGUCAGUACUACAGUCAGAACAGACCAAGAGUAAUGAACUUAAAUGUUUGCUUCUACUGCUCAGUUCAGAUACCUGAUGUGGUAUACAUGGGCAUGCAGGUAAAGAAAAACUGAGCUUCUGAAAUGAGCUACUAAUCAGGCUCAGCAAAUCAGUCAAUGUUACUGAUAAUUAUGAUUUUAGAGCAAAGUUCCAGUGAAGUCCUUUUUUUCCGAAGAACUCCUGUGAAACAACCCGCUCCCUUUUUUCAUUUAUGUGUUCUUAAUGAGGGUUUCAGAAAGGUACUUUCAAGAUUCAUGAAGAAUGAGAGACCUCCAAUUACUGCCCCACUUAACAGAAUGUUUUUAAUUGUUGGGUUUGUCAUGCAUUUGAAAACCAUUGUGUGGUAAAUCCAAUAAUCCAAAUUAUUAUUUCUUAAUCCAAUUAGGCAUUUAAUUAAACUGUACGAAGUCCAGCAGUGCUUUGGGAUUUUAUAUCUGCUUUUGGGCUUGUUUUAUUUUAGAAUUUUUGUUUGCCAUCAGAGGACAGAGCUCUAACACAGAACAACAAAGGUGUCCACCAUGCUGCCAUACUGAGCAGGGUUCUCAAAUAUUCCUAUCACAUUUCCCUCAACAGCCAAACCAGAUAGAAUUGUAGAUCCUAUCAUGAGCAACGGCAUUUUGUUCAUUCCUUCACCACCAUCAUGCUCGCUGCUGUGUAUUCACUUCGGUUUCCCUGUGACCUUCAGCUAACCUUCAGAUUUGUCCAGAAUGUUCCCAUGGGUUUUGGGUCCAAACUCGUGUGAAAGUUUGCUUAUAUAAAGUAGCAAAGCCCAGGAAACAGACUGAGAGUAGGGGAUGCAUGUGAAGUCUGUGAAUUCCACCAAAAUAAUUAUGUAACCAUAGAAUAUCUCCAAUUGGAAGAGACCUGCAAGGAUCUUUGAGUCCAACUCCUGGCUCCACGCAGUAGCACAACAACAUUCACACCCUAUGCCUGAGAGUGUUGUCCAAAUGCUCCUUGAACUCUGCCAGCUUGGGGUCAUGCUCACUGCCCUGGGGAGCCUGUUCCAUGCCCACUACCCUCUGAUGAAGAACUUUUUCCUGACACCCAGACCCGAUCAUCCCCUGACACAGCUCCAUGCCAUUCCCUUGGGCCAUGUCACUGUCAACAGAGAGAUCAGCACAGCCACUCUACCCCUGUGAGGAGUUGCAGCCGCCAUGAGGCCUCUGCUCUGGGUUGAGCAAACCAAGGGACUUCAGCUGCUCCUUACACAUUUUGCCCUCCAGACCAUCUUUGUAAUCCUCCUUUGGAUUCUCUCUAAUAGUGUUACGACCUUCUUAUGCUGUGCCCAAACCUGCACACAGUGUUUAAGGUGAGGCUGCACAGCACAAAGCAGAGCAGGACAACUCUUUCCCUCACUUGGCUAGCAGUGCUGGGUCUGAUACUUCACAGGGUACAGUGUGCCAGGGUGCACUGCUGAUUCAGAUUCAGCCUGCCAUCAAUCAGAACCCCCCAACAUAAGCAAACUGAAGUAUGCUUGAGCUAUAGCUGCUUUGCUUUUGAUAGAAGACCCCAACUAUUCAAACACACACUUCACUCUCCAAUAUGUCUUGCUACAUCUCCUCUAGUUCUUGUGGGAGAGGAGGAAGGAUGAUAAUGACAGCUCCCUUGUGCCCACACCUGGAAACUCUUCCACCCUUCCUCCUCGUGCUGGAGGGUGAUGUUCAGCGCAUGUUGAAGGCUUCCAGCAACUGAUUCAUUACCCCAUCAUACCAGAGUAGCAUCCAGCAUUGCUGUGUCAGUCCAGGGAGCCUUGUUGUAAAAUUUAGGUCUUACCAAUUCCUGCAAAGCACCAGAAGCCACAGAUAUCUGUCAUCCACUGGUGACGUAAAGACACAUAAUCGUGGUUAGAAAAUAUUUCAAGGAUGCAUUAGUGUUUCACUAACGUAAAUGUGAUAUUUACGUAUAGGUAAUAUUCUAAGUGGCAUCUUCGUGGUUCCCCUACAAUUAAAAUAAUCAGUGGAAAGAUGCCUUCUCUUUUUUUUUUUUCAGCAGUACAUUUGAUAUCUCAGCCAUUUAACACAGCAUUGAAAACAUUUUCUUUCGUGCUUUAAACCUAGAUUUGAAUAUAUCUAUUUUCUAUGAACCGAGUUCAGUACAAACAUGAUAAAAUUCUCACUAAAGGAAAGAAGCACCUGGUGUAUACUGAACUUGCUUAGGAGAUGGAUGGGAGGCACUGCAAAAAGUUGACUCAGCAAGAAAUCUUUCUGCAGAUUUUCAAGGAAAGGCUUUUUGCUCUUGCAUCUUUACAAACAUCUCUGGAUAUACUACAACAGCCCUAUAUGUAGACACACUUAUCCUGGAAUUGGCUGCUUUUCUAUUCACUGAGGCAGGAAAAAAAAGAUAUUUUUCCCCCAGAACACAGGAAUGACAUGAACAGCAAUACCUGCUGAAAUUCAUGCAUACCCUAAUGCUGUAUACUGUAUGCAUACUGUCACAUUUUUUUCAAAUGGAGAAAUACUAAAUUUAUUUCCACGUGUGGCUCUCUUGUAUCACUUAGCAUUGAUGUAUUAUUAAGGAAAGCCACGACUACCUAUGACUGCGUUGCACAUUCUGCAGGAACACACCUACUAGCCCUGAUAACAUGGCCAUGUGAUUUGCAUAAUAACUUUCUGUCUAUCUAAAUUCACGUUUCUAUUACGACUGUGCAUGCGAUUCCUAGUGUUUUUCUCUGCUGUUAAACAGAUGCUGCAUUUCAGACUUGGUGAAAUAGUUCUCUCUCUCUAUUUUUUUUUCCCUUCACAGAACUGCUUUGGGAUCUCUUUAGCUGAAAGAUAGCAUAUAAAUGCAAAUCACCCUUGGCCACAUAGCCCAGAAUUACUUUUGCAUUUUAUUCUUGAUCUGCUUCUGUAUAUAGAGCAUUCCUGAAAGACAGUGAAAUUAGAUUUACUCAUAUGGCUGACCUGCUUUGAGGAAAACAAACACAUGAUAGCCUUGUGCUACAUGAAUGUCAUGAUCUAAUGAAUGGUCCUGCUGAAAAGUAUCUCCUUUAAUUAAUUACUGACAAGACAAUUUCAUUUCAUUUAUAGCUUUAGAAAACAAACAAAGCAAAAAAUCCCAAAGCCUACAUAUAUGUAUGUCACACCUUCUCAAGUUUCUUUUUUCCCUAGUGUUAUUAACACAGAUAUAUACAUUUGCACCAAUAAUUGCUCUUUGUUUGAAUCCUUUUAAGCAAGUCUCCUUUAGUAAUGACUAUCACAAAACAUAUUCUGGCAGAAUAUGCAAAUUCUGCAAAAGAUAAGUCUGUUUAUGUUACUCAGUAAAGACAUAACGUUUACUCAAGAACAGAAACUCUACCUGCAUGCAAAUUAAAUUUAGAGCACUCCUUUGCAGAUAGUUAAAGUCUAUCAGGCCAGGGGCAAUCCAUGAAUGUGACUGCAGUGACGGAAGGUAAAGUGAGUAAGAAGUCUGAUCUGCAGACAGUGCACAUGUACCCGAUGCAGGAAAAUUCCCUCCAUGGGAUUGUCAAUGGUUUGUUCACCAUCCACAAGAAUUGGCUGCCUGUGUUAUGAAACUUUGGAAAAGCAGACAGAAAAGAAAUACGAAUAAAAACAAAACUCCAAUUAAAAGAGCUAGAGCCAAGUGCUUACUGCAUCACGC